UCCACCUACGGGAGGCAGCAGUAGGGAAUUUUCGUCAAUGGGCGCAAGCCUGAACGAGCGAUGCCGCGUGAGUGAAGAAGGCCUUCGGGUCGUAAAGCUCUGUUGCGGGGGAAAAAAGGCAGCAUCAGGAAAUGGGUGCUGACUGAUGGUGCCCCGCCAGAAAGUCACGGCUAACUACGUGCCAGCAGCCGCGGUAAUACGGAGGGUGCGAGCGUUAAUCGGAAUUACUGGGCGUAAAGCG
This 241-nucleotide ribosomal RNA is filed under the name uncultured bacterium. Its description in RNAcentral is "partial 16S ribosomal RNA". It matches the Rfam family "Bacterial small subunit ribosomal RNA", at positions 334 to 567 of the family's 1533-position model. The record is from RNAcentral.